Long non-coding RNA from Falco peregrinus (peregrine falcon), 329 nucleotides. RefSeq lists it as uncharacterized. Lineage: Eukaryota; Metazoa; Chordata; Aves; Falconiformes; Falconidae. The record is from RefSeq and is a predicted model, not a curated record. The transcript is spliced from 2 exons.
GGGAUUUUUAAAGGACCGAGGACAUAUGUUACCAUUGUCCAGGUUGGACAACCCAGGCCUGUUAGUUAAAGCUGCAGAGCAACUUUAAAUUGUCCUGGGAACAAGCAGGGUGAGGAAGAAAACAAGCUAUGCACAAACAAGAAGCCAGGUGCAGAGCAAGUCCUGGGAACGGCAAAAUCAGCACACUCUCAUCGGCACACUCUGAUCAGGCGCCUGCAGCAUGCCCACCAACUUUUAUCCAAUCACUUGUGUGUAGAGUCGGGUGAGCGGUCAGUUUAAGUUAUAAAUAUGACCUGUUUGUUUAAUAAAGGGAGCACGGCAUGUAGCCA